RNAcentral lists this transfer RNA (76 nucleotides) under Hoplodactylus duvaucelii (Duvaucel's gecko). RNAcentral describes it as "tRNA-Ile". Lineage: Eukaryota; Metazoa; Chordata; Lepidosauria; Squamata; Diplodactylidae. The record is from RNAcentral.
GGAAGCGUGCCUGAGUUUUAAGGACUACUUUGAUAGAGUACCACACAGGGGAUAAACCCCCUCACUUCCYNNCCCC